ACGUAGGGGGCAAGCGUUGUCCGGAUUUACUGGGCGUAAAGGGUGCGUAGGCGGUAUUUUAAGUAAGAUGUGAAAUAUCCGAGCUUAACUCGGAGGGUGCAUUUGAAACUGGGAUACUUGAGUGCAGGAGAGGAAAGUGGAAUUCCUAGUGUAGCGGUGAAAUGCGUAGAUAUUAGGAGGAACACCAGUGGCGAAGGCGACUUUCUGGACUGUAACUGACGCUGAGGCACGAAAGCGUGGGGAGCAAACAG
This 251-nucleotide ribosomal RNA is filed under the name uncultured prokaryote. Its description in RNAcentral is "partial 16S rRNA". It matches the Rfam family "Bacterial small subunit ribosomal RNA", at positions 525 to 775 of the family's 1533-position model. The record is from RNAcentral.